AUAUGGGCUUCGCUGCAAAUAGAGUCGUCAGAUAAAAUUGUGUCAGAUAUAUUUCCGGAUAAAUCAAGUUCUAUUUACUACUACAGUAAAUUGUUUUAUAUGUUUAUGUCUGCGUUUUUAAUGUUGGUCUGUGGUGUUCUUAUCUUGGGUGUGGUGAUGUCAAAAUCUCAUAUAAUUAAUGUAUUCGUGUGGUACGCAUUUAUAUUUAAUUGUACUACGAUUGGUUUGAAUAUCGCGGGAUUUAUUUUGAAAAUGGUGAAAUUAGAAAAAAAGUUAAUGAAACACACGAUAAAAUUCAUGAUAUCGCUUUCUUGGAACUUCUGUAAGUACCCAUACAUAACAUACAUAUAUAACUAUUAUCAAAGAACAUAAUAUUAAAAAAAAAGGUUUUAA
This 393-nucleotide unclassified non-coding RNA is filed under the name Melitaea cinxia (Glanville fritillary). RNAcentral describes it as "misc RNA ENSMCXG00005007435.1". The record is from RNAcentral. Lineage: Eukaryota; Metazoa; Arthropoda; Insecta; Lepidoptera; Nymphalidae.